GAAUAUUGCACAAUGGGCGCAAGCCUGAUGCAGCGACGCCGCGUGGGGGAUGACGGCCUUCGGGUUGUAAACCUCUUUCAGUAUCGGCGAAGCUUGCGGGUUUUCUCGCAGGUGACGGUAGGUACAGAAGAAGCACCGGCCAACUACGUGCCAGCAGCCGCGGUAAUACGUAGGGUGCGAGCGUUGUCCGGAAUUACUGGGCGUAAAGAGCUCGUAGGUGGUUUGUCGCGUUGUCCGUGAAAACUCACAGCUCAACUGUGGGCGUGCGGGCGAUACGGGCAGACUGGAGUACUGUAGGGGAGACUGGAAUUCCUGGUGUAGCGGUGGAAUGCGCAGAUAUCAGGAGGAACACCGGUGGCGAAGGCGGGUCUCUGGGCAGUAACUGACGCUGAGGAGCGAAAGCGUGGGGAGCGAACAG
RNAcentral lists this ribosomal RNA (418 nucleotides) under uncultured bacterium. RNAcentral's name for it is "bacterial SSU rRNA". It matches the Rfam family "Bacterial small subunit ribosomal RNA", at positions 359 to 775 of the family's 1533-position model. The record is from RNAcentral.